This 400-nucleotide RNase P RNA is filed under the name Ignavibacteria bacterium. RNAcentral describes it as "RNase P RNA component class A". It matches the Rfam family "Bacterial RNase P class A". From Rfam's summary of the family: Ribonuclease P (RNase P) is a ubiquitous endoribonuclease, found in archaea, bacteria and eukarya as well as chloroplasts and mitochondria. Its best characterised activity is the generation of mature 5'-ends of tRNAs by cleaving the 5'-leader elements of precursor-tRNAs. Lineage: Bacteria; Pseudomonadati; Ignavibacteriota; Ignavibacteria. The record is from RNAcentral.
AGUUCGGUCCGGGCAAUCGCUCACAUUAAAAUGGUUUUGUGGGAGGAAAGUCCGAGCUUCAUAGAACAGGGUGCCGGGUAACCCCCGGGGUCUCGCAUUGCGGGAUACUGAAAGUGCCGCAGAAAAUAUACCGCCUCGAAGUUAUUCGGGGUAAGGGUGAAAAGGCGGGGUAAGAGCCCACCGUCCUGUUGGUAACAACAGGUGCAAGGUAAACCACACCCGAAGCAAGAUCAAAUAGGGAAAUCGUUUCUUACUAAUUUAAGAAUCAGGGCUGUUCGCCUUGGAGGUUUCCGGGUAGAUCGCCAGAUUCCAUCAGUAAUGGUGGGGCAAGAUAAAUGAUUGCCGCUGCGCACUUAAUCGUAUCGUAGUACAGAACUCGGCUUAUAGGACUGGACUUUUU